CGUUCGGGGGUAAACGAACAGAGCCCGUGAAUCCGGGCGCGCGGAAUUCAGGACCGACGGCCGGGCGCGCUUCGCGGCUCGCUCGGUCGUCGAUUCGAUAUUUCCGCCGCCGACCCUCAACCGAGGGUGUCGGACGUCGCGACCCGUUCGCCCGUCGAUGCUCAGGAGCGCGUUUCAAGUUCGUUUGCGCGGCCGUUUCGGCGGUCGCGCGGCGAUGGCGCGUUUCCGCUGCGUCGGCGCGGACGGUAGCUUUGCGCGCGGGUAAUCGGCGCGGUCCUUCGCCCGGCGUCUCGUACGUCGGGCGGCGCUCGCGUCGACGCCGGUCAGCGACGAAUUUCGGGCCUCUUUUCGACCCGUCUUGAAACACGGACCAAGGAGUCUAGGGUGCGCGCGAGUCGCGGGGUAUCCGAGGGGUUGUAGCCGUUUCGGCGGCGAACGCCUCUCGUCACGAUACGAAACCCGUGUACGUACGUUGUGCGAAGGCGUAAUGAAAGUGAAAGGCGACGCUUCGCGCGUCGCCGGGGGAAGACGGUGUACCGUGUACACGUUCCGCGGUCGCAUAUGUACCGCGGCCGGACACCCGCAUUCCCAGGGCGUCCCGUCCGUACGUCGGCGACGCGGACGGCGGUCUCGCGGCCGUCGUCGGUCGUCGGCGAACUGGGGCGCACCUACAGCGUGCACCCUGGUACCCGAAAGAUGGUGAACUAUGCCCGGCCAGGAUGAAGUCAGGGGAAACCCUGAUGGAGGUCCGCAGCGAUUCUGACGUGCAAAUCGAUCGUCUGAGCUGGGUAUAGGGGCGAAAGACUAAUCGAACCAUC
RNAcentral lists this ribosomal RNA (818 nucleotides) under Parthenolecanium corni. RNAcentral's name for it is "partial 28S ribosomal RNA". The stretch from base 370 to 818 matches the Rfam family "Eukaryotic large subunit ribosomal RNA", at positions 665 to 944 of the family's 3401-position model. Lineage: Eukaryota; Metazoa; Arthropoda; Insecta; Hemiptera; Coccidae. The record is from RNAcentral.